This 97-nucleotide transfer RNA is filed under the name Deltaproteobacteria bacterium. RNAcentral's name for it is "tRNA-Sec". It matches the Rfam family "Selenocysteine transfer RNA". The record is from RNAcentral. Lineage: Bacteria; Pseudomonadati; Myxococcota; Myxococcia.
GGAAGCGGACGGGUCCUGGUGGAUCCCCCGGACUUCAAAUCCGGUGUGGGAUGCGUCGAGCGUCCUGGGUGGGUUCGAUUCCCAUGCGCUUCCGCCA